CAACAGGGAUUGCCUCAGUAACGGCGAGUGAAGCGGCAACAGCUCAAAUUUGAAAUCUGGCCCUAGGCCCGAGUUGUAAUUUGCAGAGGAUGCUUUUGGUGCGGUGCCUUCCAAGUUCCCUAGAACGGGACGCCAGAGAGGGUGAGAGCCCCGUACAGUUGGACACCAAGCCUUUGUAAAGCUCCUUCGACGAGUCGAGUAGUUUGGGAAUGCUGCUCAAAAUGGGAGGUAUAUUUCUUCUAAAGCUAAAUACCGGCCAGAGACCGAUAGCGCACAAGUAGAGUGAUCGAAAGAUGAAAAGCACUUUGAAAAGAGGGUUAAACAGCACGUGAAAUUGUUAAAAGGGAAGCGCUUGUGACCAGACUUGCGUCCGGUGAAUCACCCAGCUCUCGCGGCUGGGGCACUUCGCCGGCUCAGGCCAGCAUCAGCUCGCUGUCGGGGACAAAAGCUUCAGGAACGUAGCUCUCUUCGGGGAGUGUUAUAGCCUGUUGCACAAUACCCUUCGGCGGGCUGAGGUACGCGCUCCGCAAGGAUGCUGGCAUAAUGGUCAUCAGCGACCCGUCUUGAAACACGGACCAAGGAGUCAACCUUAUGUGCGAGUGUUCGGGUGUCAAACCCCUACGCGUAAUGAAAGUGAACGCAGGUGAGAGCUUCGGCGCAUCAUCGACCGAUCCUGAUGUUCUCGGAUGGAUUUGAGUAAGAGCAUAUAGGGUUGGACCCGAAAGAAGGUGAACUAUGCGUGUAUAGGGUGAAGCCAGAGGAAACUCUGGUGGAGGCUCGCAGCGGUUCUGACGUGCAAAUCGAUCGUCAAAUAUGCGCAUGGGGGCGAGAGACUAAUCGAACCUUCUAGUAGCUGGUUUCUGCCGAGCCUCUCUCUCCGAAAGAUUAAA
RNAcentral lists this ribosomal RNA (890 nucleotides) under Colletotrichum fructicola. RNAcentral's name for it is "partial large subunit ribosomal RNA". It matches the Rfam family "Eukaryotic large subunit ribosomal RNA", at positions 66 to 986 of the family's 3401-position model. Lineage: Eukaryota; Fungi; Ascomycota; Sordariomycetes; Glomerellales; Glomerellaceae. The record is from RNAcentral.